This 103-nucleotide small RNA is filed under the name Flavobacterium noncentrifugens. Its description in RNAcentral is "Flavo-1 RNA". It matches the Rfam family "Flavo-1 RNA". The record is from Rfam by way of RNAcentral. Lineage: Bacteria; Pseudomonadati; Bacteroidota; Flavobacteriia; Flavobacteriales; Flavobacteriaceae.
UUUUAGCCCGGAUGGAAGCGGCAUCCUUUUUUGUUUGAGACGAAAUCUGAUUUCGGAUAGAAAUUUCCAAACAAAAAAGAUACAGCGCACAGCCGGAAAUAGC